UGAAACACAGUUAAGUUGAGCUGGAAUUGUUCGUGAAGUCUUACCGAAACUGCGAUCUGGCAAUUUUCCAGCAUAGCUGCACUGAUAUAAUUAUCCCUGUUUUCUCCCUGCUACUCACUGAUAUCGCAUUUGGUUCACUGCUCACAAUACUUCCACAGUCAUCUCUCAAGUGCAUGACUUACUAAAUGCUACAUCAUCGUCAUGUGAAGUAAAUAAACGAUUUUACGUCUUCUGUCCUUACGUCUCCGGGUGGCUUCAUCGUGCCUGAAAAUAGUUUACCCGUAUGGAGAACAAGGGCCACUAGAAGAUACGUGAAACAGAUUAUCAAAGAACUAAUGGAUAGGUGAUUUUUAACAUCCUCGCGUUCCUUGGUCAUUGAAGCAUGCCCAGAGCUUACAGUGACAGGAGACUGGUGGUGCUUACCAGCCCCAGCUCAGGAACCUGGGUCGACAAGCCCGUACUCAGUAAACGAAUGCUGAGCCCCUGAAGGGACAUUUCACCUGUGAUAUGUAGGCUGGCAAUGUAUUGCAGCGUAUCAUUGAUGGAGGAUAAAAUAUUGCACCUCUUAAUAAUCAGUUCUCCUUUGGGAGGUGACUGCUUCAAGAUGACUGAACCAGCAUCACUAAAACGUGAAGAUUUUUAUUGCAUCGUGCAUAACGAUUUUGUGGUGGGUGAAAGGGCUGAUGUCACAGCCACUGCCAGGAAUGUGACUCACAGGAACAAGACCAUAUCAAUCAUUUCAGCACUUUGAGAAGGACUCAAUAUUGAAAAUUAUGGAGACAAUAGUUUAAGAACUCCACAGACCUGGGUGCAAAUCUUCCUCAUGCAAGUGUAUUGUAAUUCGAGGUUUGGGUGAUUUAUGUCUGGAGCUUUUGUAGGUAUGAGACAAUAUUCAUGAGCAAAUAAAGGUUUCAACUAUA
Long non-coding RNA from Schistocerca nitens (vagrant locust), 920 nucleotides. RefSeq lists it as uncharacterized. The record is from RefSeq and is a predicted model, not a curated record. The transcript is spliced from 4 exons. NCBI's taxonomy places the organism in Eukaryota, Metazoa, Arthropoda, Insecta, Orthoptera, Acrididae.